Long non-coding RNA from Mytilus californianus (California mussel), 260 nucleotides. RefSeq lists it as uncharacterized. The record is from RefSeq and is a predicted model, not a curated record. NCBI's taxonomy places the organism in Eukaryota, Metazoa, Mollusca, Bivalvia, Mytilida, Mytilidae. The transcript has 2 exons.
GAUCAUUUCUGUAUAAAAAAGGGAUGCUGACACAAGAUAGUUUAAAGCUUGAGAUGACAGCUGAUUUUUGGCAUUCAUUCAAGGAAUAUUAUGAUGAGUUCAAAUCAAGUGUUAAAGAAGACAAAUGGGAGGCUCUUAAUGCCCUGGACAGGAGGAGAACAAGACAAAAAGAUAAAGAAAACUAGAUUCAGAAGAUAAUUGAGACAUUGGACUUGUACCUGUAUUUCUUUUACUUUUUUAAUAUAAAUAUGAACCUGAAA